RNAcentral lists this transfer RNA (72 nucleotides) under Camelus bactrianus (Bactrian camel). It matches the Rfam family "tRNA". From Rfam's summary of the family: Transfer RNA (tRNA) molecules are approximately 80 nucleotides in length. Their secondary structure includes four short double-helical elements and three loops (D, anti-codon, and T loops). Lineage: Eukaryota; Metazoa; Chordata; Mammalia; Artiodactyla; Camelidae. RNAcentral also lists the same sequence under 2 other names. The record is from Rfam by way of RNAcentral.
GAGGGUGUAGCUCAGUGGUGGAGCACGUGCUUAGCAUUCACAAGGUCCUGGGUUCAAUCCUCAAUACCUCCA